UACAGAGGUCCCAAGCGUUGUUCGGAUUCACUGGGCGUAAAGGGUGCGUAGGCGGUCGGGUAAGUCUGGCGUGAAAUCUCCAAGCCUAACUUGGAAACUGCGUUGGAUACUAUCCGGCUCGAGGAAUGGAGGGGAGACUGGAAUACUUGGUGUAGCAGUGAAAUGCGUAGAUAUCAAGUGGAACACCAGUGGCGAAGGCGAGUCUCUGGACAUUUCCUGACGCUGAGGCACGAAAGUCAGGGGAGCAAACGGG
RNAcentral lists this ribosomal RNA (253 nucleotides) under uncultured bacterium. RNAcentral describes it as "partial 16S ribosomal RNA". It matches the Rfam family "Bacterial small subunit ribosomal RNA", at positions 524 to 776 of the family's 1533-position model. The record is from RNAcentral.